GCGGAGAGAGAACAGCAAACUUGUGAUUCUUGAACGGUGGUUCUGGCUGGUACACAGAAACUUCCAAACCUCGCAGCUGGGAAGACCAGAGGCUGGAGUAGCUGCUUUGGAGAACACAAAUGGCUAGAAGGAAACAACCCUCAGGAAAGAUCACUUGUUGCUGUUGUUACUACUAGCACAGCUGUUUCUGUGACUUGUGUUUUUAGGAGUCUCUCAGGAUACAGUCAAAAGAAAGGUCUCCAAAACAAAGUGCCUGAAGCAAGGGAUGGCACUGGCCUUGAUCCACCCUAACAAGCGUGCAUACUCUUUGGCUCCCCUGAAUCUGAAGGAGGAGCUUCAGGGAUUCAAAGUUCAAGGGGACAGAAAAGGCGUUGGGCAGGAGCCAUUGU
This 389-nucleotide long non-coding RNA is filed under the name Rattus norvegicus (Norway rat). RNAcentral describes it as "long non-coding RNA NONRATT013029". Lineage: Eukaryota; Metazoa; Chordata; Mammalia; Rodentia; Muridae. The record is from RNAcentral.